This 300-nucleotide ribosomal RNA is filed under the name uncultured Streptomyces sp. RNAcentral's name for it is "bacterial SSU rRNA". It matches the Rfam family "Bacterial small subunit ribosomal RNA", at positions 496 to 795 of the family's 1533-position model. The record is from RNAcentral. Lineage: Bacteria; Bacillati; Actinomycetota; Actinomycetes; Kitasatosporales; Streptomycetaceae.
GGUGGCUUCGGGGCAGUGGGCUGGGUAAAGCGAAGGGGGCAAGGUGUAAUCUGAGUUACUGGGCGUGAAGGGGUCGGAGGUAGUUCGUUAAGUUGGGUGGGAAAGCCCCGGGCUCAACCUGGGAACUGCAUCCAAAACUGGCGAGCUAGAGUACUGUAGAGGGUGGUGGAAUUUCCGGUGUAGCGGUGAAAUGCGUAGAUAUAGGAAUGAACACCAGUUGCGAAGGCGACCACCUGGACUGAUACUUACACUGAGGUGCGAAAGCGUGGGGAGCAAACAGGAUUAGAUACCCGAGUAGUC